CUUAGAUAUUUUAAAUACAAAAAAUAUCCGCCAGAGAAUUACGAGCUAAACAUGCUUAAAACUCUAAGGACUUGGCGGUACCUCAAACCCACCUAGAGGAGCCUGUUCUAUAAUCGACAAUCCACGAUUCACCUCACCAUCUCUUGCCAACUCCGCCUAUAUACCGCCGUCAUAGCUUACCUUAUGAAAGAUAAAAAGUAAGCAAAAUAAUCUAAACAAUUAACAAAUCAGGUCAAGGUGUAGCUUACUGAGAUGGAAGAAAUGGGCUACAUUUUCUAUAUUAGAAAUAACUACGGAAAGAUACCUUGAAAUAGGUUCUACAAGCAGGAUUUAGCAGUAAACUGGGAAAAGAGAGCCCAA
This 360-nucleotide ribosomal RNA is filed under the name Sternotherus odoratus. RNAcentral describes it as "partial 12S ribosomal RNA". It matches the Rfam family "Bacterial small subunit ribosomal RNA", at positions 875 to 1361 of the family's 1533-position model. Lineage: Eukaryota; Metazoa; Chordata; Testudines; Kinosternidae. The record is from RNAcentral.